Non-coding RNA from Thermosinus carboxydivorans Nor1, 95 nucleotides. The record is from Rfam. Lineage: Bacteria; Bacillati; Bacillota; Negativicutes; Selenomonadales; Sporomusaceae.
CCUACCGUGAGGUAGGGUCUGAAGGAAGCCGAAGGAAAAAUUGCGGCCUGAUGAACAAGAACCCCCUUCUGACGCAGGAUUGCCACUUUAUCUUC